RNAcentral lists this unclassified non-coding RNA (3709 nucleotides) under Pectinophora gossypiella (pink bollworm). Its description in RNAcentral is "ethanolaminephosphotransferase 1-like". The stretch from base 3141 to 3212 matches the Rfam family "tRNA". The record is from RNAcentral. Lineage: Eukaryota; Metazoa; Arthropoda; Insecta; Lepidoptera; Gelechiidae.
CUUGCCUUGUGUAGGGGGCUCUUUAUUUUAGUCGUAAUUUAAUAAUAAUAAGAUUAAUUUCAUUAGAAGAUGUGUUUAAAUACGAAUAACAAUAUAAAUUACAGUAUUUAUCAGUGAGUUUAUUUUUCGAUUGUGUGUUGGGUGAGAAAACAGUGACAAUGUUCUAUCACAAAUAUUUAACUCGUGAACAUCUAGAAGGCUUCGACAAUUAUAAGUACAUGGCAAUAGACACCAGCCCUCUCAGUGUCUAUGUUAUGCACCCGUUUUGGAACAAAGUUGUUGAGUUCGUCCCACGCUGGGUGGCGCCAAACGUCCUAACCUUCGCCGGGUUCCUCCUCACCGUUCUGGACUUCAUCCUGCUAUCGUACUAUGACUAUAACUACCUGGCGGCGAGCUCGCUCAACGCCACGGAGACCGUCUCCUUGAACCAGAGUCCACUCAACGGUCACACAGAGGUCAUACCACGCUCGCUGUGGGCGGUCCUGGCCGUGUUCUUGUUCCUCGCUUACACUCUGGAUGGCAUAGAUGGGAAGCAGGCGCGCCGGACCCAGACGUCGGGGCCACUGGGCGAGCUGUUCGACCACGGCCUGGACUCGUAUUCUGUGUUCUUCAUCCCAGCCUGUCUGUACUCCAUCUUCGGAAGACUCGACUUCUCCAUACCGCCUAUAAGGAUGUAUUAUGUGAUGUGGAACAUUCUACUCAACUUCUAUCUAAGUCAUUGGGAGAAGUAUAACACAGGAGUGUUAUUUCUACCCUGGGGCUACGAUUUUAGUAUGUGGGCAUCGACAUUCUUCUUCUUGUGGACGGGGAUCUCUGGCACUGGGUUCUACAAAAGAUACCUAUUUGGCGGUUACACCAUUGCCAACGCGUUCGAGUGGCUCAUUUACGCCACUGGGGUCUUUACCAACCUGCCAGUCGCCAUUUACAACACGCAGAAGUCAUACAGACUGCGCACUGGUAAAAUGCGGAGCCCUAUGGAGGCGCUGCGGCCGCUGUGGGCGCUGCUGAGCGUGUUCAUAGUGUGCACCGUGUGGGUGCAUCGGUCACCCAGCCUACCCGACUACGACCCGCGCGUGCUGUUCCUGCUGAUUGGGACUGUGUUCAGUAAUGUUGCUUGCCGGCUGAUAGUGAGCCAGAUGUCGUCGCAGCGCUGCGCGGCCGCCAACUGGCUGGUGUGGCCGCUGCUGCUGGCGGCCGCCUUGGCGCUGGCCGCCCCGCAGCACGAGCCCGCCGCGCUCUACGGCGCCACGCUGCUGUGCGUGCUGGCGCACCUGCACUACGGCGCUUGUGUCGUUCGACAAAUGUGCGACCACUUCCGAAUAAGCUGCUUCCACAUAAAGCAGCGUGCAGAUUGACUCUUAGACGACAGCGCGUGCUAGACACAACAUAACAGACAAACAAACAACAUAAUGUACAGGUAAACUUGUAGCGAACAGGGGGCGGCGACGGGGGCUACGUGCUUUCCGAAGCACGGAGGAGCCAGGAAUAUUUCAUUGGAAACAUUUGUACAGUGAGUUAAUUUUACAAUUGGUGUAACUUGAAAAAACUUGUUUUUUCAUUGCGUCGGAGAAAGCUUUAUUUACUUUAGGCUGACAGCUCUGGGGGGUUAAAAAGCUAGUUACUAGGGAUCGACGAUCCAACGGUGUUAUGUUGGAAGUAGUAUUAUGCGUCUUGCUGUGUAAACUUCGAUACCGCGUUUCACGACUGCUUGAAGACUGCAUUAUUGAAUGUGGCGCCAUCUGUUGCAUGUGAGCGGAACUAGGUGGCCAACUAGUUGGGUCCGCCACACUAGUAUUUGAACUGUCAAAUUAAAGUAAAAUAAAGUUUGUGUCUGUCAGCUGUGGCAAACACACGAACCGACACAGUCGCAUCAUAAGGGUUCCAAUUUUUGCAAUUUGGGUUGGGAACCGUAACAGAAAAAAAAUCUUUUUUUUAUGGACUUGAAUGGGCCCAAAAUGAGGUCCUUUAAUUGACUACUAUGCUUAUGUCGAUCAUGUCUGAAUUAACUUUUUUUAAAGUUCGAAUUUGUCAUCAUAAUUCGAAAUGAUAUUUUAAAUUCCUGAGCCGUCUCCUGUUUGAAAAAGGCCUACAGUAGAAACAAAUCUGUUCCAUGUAGAUAUCAUUAAAAAAAAACACAAUGCAAAUAGUUUUUUAUCACUAUAGAGGAUCUUCCUCACGGUGCGAUUCGAUAUCGCAUUGCACUGCGAUCAGCGCCAUGAGGAGGGUCUCUAAGUUAGUAGACGUAGUUGAGUUUUACUCGCCGCAAUCGAUAUAUUUAAUUGAAGACGACAUGAUAAUUACAGAGACAGGGUGUGAUGGACAGACUGGUAUGUUUUUUAUUUCAAUGGGGUGUUUUCCCGGGUCAAAACAAGUCUUCAUUUUCUUGCUGUGUUAUACAGGAUGUUAGUGACAUCGUAACGAAUACUGAGGGGGUUAUUCAGACCAUGAUUCUGAGUAAAUAUCAAGUGGAAUUUCCUGUCGGAAAAUACUUGUUUUUUUUUAAUUAUUUUCAGUUCAAUACUUUUGCGACGGUAAAUUCCUCGUGAUAACUAUUCAGAAUAAUCGUCUGAGUCAGCCUUCAAAGAUUUUCAAGUUUUGACUGAAUGUUUUGACUGGCUGAAAACAUCCCCAUAAUAAAUAAGAAAUGUAUUAUGUAAUGCAAAAUAAGCAAAAAUAUUGUUUUGUAAGAAAGAUUUACAUUUUUUAUGUAAUGAGGAUAGAAACUAGAAGUUCAAAUGUAGGAGGCGCCACUGUUGAGUGUUCCUACAUCUUGACAGUUCUCCAUACUGUCCAGCUUUAGCUGGAAAAUUCGUGACAAAAUCCAAUUUCAAAAAUAUCUUUAUUCAGUAGGUAACAUAGUUACACUUUGAAUCGUCAAUUUUUACAUAACGUACGUCUCAUCCGCCUAAAACUACUGCAGCUCACAACCUGUAUAGCCGGGGACAAGAAGCUGCAAGAAAAACCUCGGCACAGGGCACAUUUUAUAGAUAAAUUGAUAUAAAAUGUGGAGCAACGUGGAGUGUAUCCCGUCUGAAUGAUGAGUUACGAAAAAGAAAAGCUAUCAGUUGGAAAAAGGAAUUUUAGAUUGAAAAUAAGUUUUUCUAUGUUUUCUUCUUUCCGAUCUUUAGGAAGUAAAUACGGCCUCUAUGGUCCAGUGGUUGAGCGUUGAGCUCAGGAUCCGGAGGUCCCGGGUUCGAAUCCCGAUGGGGACAUAUCACAAAAAUCAUCUUUAUGAUCCCCAGUUUGGUUAGGACAUUACAGGCUGAUCACUGAUUGAAAGUAAGAUGAUCCGUGCUUCGGAAGGCACGUUAAGUCGGUGGUCCCGGUUAUUACUUACUGAUGUAAGUGACAACUACAUGAGCCAUGUCAGGGGCCUUUGGCGGGUCAAUAAUAACCCUGACACCAGGGUUGAUGAGGUUGGUAAUUUACCUCACAACCUACACGAUAGAAGAAAGAAUAAAUGCAACACUAUGUUUUUGCAGGUAAACGCGUAAAGGGUGAUAGUGUAAAAAUAUUACUAAAACAAUGGUGCUAAUUCCUGUAAAUACCAUCUAAUUUUAUUUUAAGUUAUAUCUGUCAUUUUCUUAUCCGCCGAAAAGGAAAGGGACGGAUGAUUGUGAACAAGUUAAUUUUAAAACGAAUGAAUAACCCGGGCGAAUAAAAUAGGCAUCUCGCUUGUAUGUAAUUCGAUUGACGUGCCGUCUGCUUA